Non-coding RNA from Monodelphis domestica (gray short-tailed opossum), 3529 nucleotides. NCBI's taxonomy places the organism in Eukaryota, Metazoa, Chordata, Mammalia, Didelphimorphia, Didelphidae. The record is from RefSeq and is a predicted model, not a curated record.
CUUCGCUUAUUGAUUGAGCUCCAGUCAAAUUCAAUCGCAAGUGAAAAUGGAUUUUUUAAUGCGACUAUUAGCUGCUUUGGAGACGCAAAUUGAGUUCAGUCAGACGGAGGAGGCCGCCAUCAAAAAACAAUUUGCAGUCUGAGGCCCAGGGUGGGAUACAGGGGUAGGAGAGAGAGAGAGAGAGAGAGAGAGAGAGAGAGAGAGAGAGAGAGAGAGAGAGAGAGAGAGAGAGAGAGAAAGAAAGUCCAGGGGGUUCCCAGUUCCUAAUUCUCAAAAACCCAGAGCCAAAGCAGACCCAGGAUCUAGACUGAGGUUGCUGGGGCAGAGCCAACUGAAUUGAUGGGGGAUAUCAAACAUAGGAGGAUCUGGUGGAUCCUGGGAUAGAAAGAAGGAUGAAGGAUGCUAGAGAGAGAAAGGAAAAGGGGUUCAAAGGAAUCUGAUGGGGGGGAGGGACUCUAGAGCACAGAAAGACUAGGGAAAAGAGAGGGAGUCAAGGGGAGAAGGGAGUACUAGACGAAAUCAACCUAGGAUUGAGGACUAGCAAGACAGGAAUAACAGAAAGACAAGAAAGCAAAUCAAGGAUGUCUGUAGGACAGUGCCCUAUUGAACUGGUUAGUUAUGGUGUCUCUGCUGUGGAAGGAGGAACAGGAAAGAGAAAAGAGGAGAUGGAAUUGUCCAGGGUCCUGGGCUAUUCGAGGUCUCUCAGGACAAGUUUUUAUGCUCAGACUGUCCAGAAAUUUCUCUUUGAUACAACCCAUCAAGAUUCUUGAAAUGCUACCAUUGAGGAAUCAUUCCGGAGUUCCCCUGUUGAUAGGCAGAAGGGUCUAGAAGGGGAGAAAAGCCAUCAGCCUGGACAUCCAACCAUAAUGUGAAAUCCUUUAUCUGAGACUAUCAACCACAGCCCCUGGGAACAGAGGGAACAAUGAGGUUCAGUUGGGGAGAUGUGGGACAGCAGAGGAGAGAGCAGAGGGACAGAGGGCGGCACUGGUGGAAGGAAGGGAGCUAGUGAGAUUCUAGAAGGGUCUGAGAGGAUAAUGAAGAGGAGGACAGUGUACCAUGAAAGAAUGGGACACUGUGGGCAGCAGGACCAGGGCAAGAGCUGUGAGACAAGGGGAGAAGAAACUGAUUAAGGGAGAUGAGAAGUCAAGGACAAACCACCAAUUUCACCAUUUUGCUGUGCAUCUGGGGUGGGAAGAAGGACUAGAUAAGAAAGCAGGACCCCGGGUUAGGGGAGAGUGAGCUGGGAUGGCUUUUGAAGGGGAGGCAGAGGGCUGGACUGCAAAGACUGGGGGGGGUGAGUUUGGGUGGGUGAGGGAGCAGAAGGCUGGCCUGGCGAUACUGCCAGGGAAGGGCACCCAGAUUUCCCAAACAAAGCUUGUGCUGGGGAAGGGCAAUAGGCUACCCUCUUAAGAGUCGUACCGGAAGCCCUGGUCUGAGAUGAAGAAACUUAGAACUGUUUAAGUGAGUUGCCUGGGAUAACACAGCUAGCUGUCAGGCAGAAUUUGAACUCAGGGCUCCUGACACCAACUCCACCGUGCAAUCCAUUCUACCAACUAGUUACAGCCGGAGAGAAAUGUGUUCUGGGGCUUUUCUGUUUCUGCAAUCAAAAUAAUUCCUAGGGGACACCAGUACGGCAAUGUGGUACAUGGGGGAGAAGGAGGGGAAAGGCGAUUGCUGGAUUUGGAACCAGAAGCCCCAGAUUCAAGUCUGUCCUCUGCUCCUUCCUCCUUGUUUGACUACAGGCAAGUGUCUAUUCCUCAACCAAUAAAGUGUGGGGCUGGAUUAGAUUCGAGGACCUCUGAAGGUCCCUUCCAGCUCUCAAUCUGUGAAGCCACAAGACACCUGCUUAGAACUCUGCUCUCUUUUUCCUCCAGUGACAGUUUGUAGGGGAUUCUAACAAACGGAUCCCUGCUGGGGUGUUAAUGGGUGUUUGACGGUUUCCUGUGUCACCCCCUCCCAGGUGACACAUGUGCAUUUUUAGCAGGGGCUUCCCAGGGACCACGAAUGCCUUCACCUAAGGGAAUUAAUUAGUAUGUAUGAAGCACCUAUCGCAACUCAAAGGAGCUAGUCACUGAGGGCUAUGCAAAGAAGAAGGCAUGAGCCUUCCUUCUCUGGGAGAGGCUCUAUUGGUAGGGGAACCCAAUCCUUGAACCCCUAAAAAUGCCUAUUGCAUACUAGAGACACAGUCAUUCAGCCCUCCGAGUGGAACCGCCCCUUGUCAGAGCUACACAAUCCUGGAGCCAGAGACCCGGCUCAUUUGUAAGCAAGUGGCUUGGCUGACCUAUGACUAACCCUCCCACUAACUACCAUCCCGGGGCCAGCGUACCGGCUGACUCAACGAUUGACUGACUCAAUGACUGACUGAUGAUGGCACGACCGGCUGACUGAUGACCUGCUCGGCUGUCAGGCUGAUUGACGUCCAUCCUGAAGAAGGGGCCCCUGCCGAAAGGUUUCUACCACUGGAGGGGGUUGGCCGUCUCCACCCUUUAUGGGCUUCCCCUUCUCCCCUCCUUCCUUUCUCCCUCCCCUGCAAUUCUGCAGAAUCUUUCUCUAACUGAAAACCCAAGAGCCUGGAAGAAUAGAAUCAGAUGAGCUAAGGAAGCUAAUUAAGGGUCUCAUUUACAUAUGCCGGUCCCUCCCCCUUGGCACACCCCUUAUUGUAUGCUGACAGUUACCUUAGCAACCAGACCCUAAAGACUCGCAGCUCCUCCAGGCUCCUCCCCUUUCUGUUCUGCCUGAAUGCUUCCAUCCACCCCAGACUAUCAGGGGAAGCAGGAAGCUUCCUGCUAGUCCAACCUCCCCAUUUGACAGAUGAGGAAACUGAGGACCGGAGAGAAGUGACUUGACAAUUAUGGAGUUACAUUUACAUAGCAAAUAUAAGUACUCUGAAGCCUAACUCAAAUGCUGCCUCCUCCAUGAAGCCUUCCAUGAUUCUUCCCCGUUGAUGAGUCUGGCAUCAGCCUUUGCUGUGUAUCUCUGUAAUGAAUUUAUCAUACUAUUGUUCAGCUGUGUCUGACUCUUUGUGAUACUAUUUGGGCUUUUCAUGGCAAAGAAAGGAGUGGUUUGCCAUUUUCUUCUCCCGUUUAUUUUACAGAUGAAGAAACUGAGACAAAUGGGGUUAAGUGACUUGUCCAGGGUCACACAGCUAGACUAUGUCUGAGGUCACAUUUGAACUCAGGAAGAUGAAUAGGUCUUCCUGAGUCCAAAUCCAGCACUCUAUGCACUGUGGCACCAUCUAGCUGCCCCAUAUUUAUCAAGUAUCAAUAUGAGUUUAGAAUUAUGUGUUUGUGCCUUAUCACCCAACUACUGGCAGCCAGAGAAGGGGAUACUUUGGUGUGGAAGUAGCCUUCAUUCAAAGAGUAACUGGGGCUUUGGCAGAGAAGUUGGCACAUGCAAUCCAGGGACAAUGGCAGAGUUGAUCUGAUUCAGAAUUGGAGGAGAGGAAAGGGUAAGGAGACUAUUGAGGAAGUUCUUGGAUAAAAGGAACUGGAGUGAAAUGGAACUUUCCUGAAAAUGUUCUGAGAUAAGU